UACGGGGGGGGCAAGCGUUGUUCGGAAUUACUGGGCGUAAAGGGCGUGUAGGUGGCCAACUAAGUCCGACGUGAAAUCCCCAGGCUUAACCUGGGAACUGCGUCGGAUACUGGAUGGCUUGAAUUCGGGAGAGGGAUGCAGAAUUCCAGGUGUAGCGGUGAAAUGCGUAGAUAUCUGGAGGAAUACCGGUGGCGAAGGCGGCAUCCUGGACCAUUACUGACGCUGAGGCGCGAAAGCUAGGGGAGCAAACGGG
Molecule: ribosomal RNA, 253 nt
Filed under: uncultured bacterium
Lineage: Bacteria
Description: partial 16S ribosomal RNA
Rfam family: Bacterial small subunit ribosomal RNA
Source: RNAcentral